UGUGGGAGCUGGCUUGCCUGCGAUAGCAUCGCUUCGGUCUACUUGAUACAUCGAGGCGUCUGCAUCGCAGGCAAGCCAGCUCCCACA
Molecule: unclassified non-coding RNA, 87 nt
Filed under: Pseudomonas brenneri
Lineage: Bacteria; Pseudomonadati; Pseudomonadota; Gammaproteobacteria; Pseudomonadales; Pseudomonadaceae
Source: RNAcentral